Molecule: ribosomal RNA, 1339 nt
Filed under: Brevibacterium sp.
Lineage: Bacteria; Bacillati; Actinomycetota; Actinomycetes; Micrococcales; Brevibacteriaceae
Description: bacterial SSU rRNA
Rfam family: Bacterial small subunit ribosomal RNA
Source: RNAcentral
AUCAUCUGCAUCCUGGAUGCAUUGCACCGCGCAGAAUGAGUGGCGAACGGGUGAGUAACACGUGAGUAACCUGCCCCUGACUUCGGGAUAAGCCCGGGAAACUGGGUCUAAUACCGGAUACGACUGCCGGACGCAUGUCUGGUGGUGGAAAGUUUUUUCGGUUGGGGAUGGGCUCGCGGCCUAUCAGUUUGUUGGUGAGGUAAUGGCUCACCAAGACGACGACGGGUAGCCGGCCUGAGAGGGCGACCGGCCACACUGGGACUGAGACACGGCCCAGACUCCUACGGGAGGCAGCAGUGGGGAAUAUUGCACAAUGGGGGAAACCCUGAUGCAGCGACGCAGCGUGCGGGAUGACGGCCUUCGGGUUGUAAACCGCUUUCAGCAGGGAAGAAGCGCAAAGUGACGGUACCUGCAGAAGAAGUACCCGGCUAACUACGUGCCAGCAGCCGCGGUAAUACGUAGGGUACGAGCGUUGUCCGGGAAUUAUUGGGCGUAAAGAGCUCGUAGGUGGUUGGUCACGUCUGCUGUGGAAACGCAACGCUUAACGUUGCGCGUGCAGUGGGUACGGGCUGACUAGAGUGCAGUAGGGGAGUCUGGAAUUCCUGGUGUAGCGGUGAAAUGCGCAGAUAUCAGGAGGAACACCGGUGGCGAAGGCGGGACUCUGGGCUGUAACUGACACUGAGGAGCGAAAGCAUGGGGAGCGAACAGGAUUAGAUACCCUGGUAGUCCAUGCCGUAAACGUUGGGCACUAGGUGUGGGGGGCAUUCCACGUUCUCCGCGCCGUAGCUAACGCAUUAAGUGCCCCGCCUGGGGAGUACGGUCGCAAGGCUAAAACUCAAAGGAAUUGACGGGGGCCCGCACAAGCGGGCGGAGCAUGCGGAUUAAUUUCGAUGCAACGCGAAGAACCUUACCAAGGGCUUGACAUACACCGGACCGUCCCUGGAAACAGGUCCUCUUCUUUGAAGCUGGUGUACAGGUGGUGCAUGAUUGUCGUCAGCUCGUGUCGUGAGAUGUUGGGUUAAGUCCCGCAACGAGCGCAACCCUCGUUCUAUGUUGCCAGCACGUGAUGGUGGGAACUCAUAGGAGACUGCCGGGGUCAACUCGGAGGAAGGUGGGGAUGACGUCAAAUCAUCAUGCCCUUUAUGUCUUGGGCUUCACGCAUGCUACAAUGGCUGGUACAGAGAGAGGCGAACCCGUGAGGGCAAGCGAAUCCCUUAAAGCCAGUCUCAGUUCGGAUCGUAGUCUGCAAUUCGACUACGUGAAGUCGGAGUCGCUAGUAAUCGCAGAUCAGCAACGCUGCGGUGAAUACGUUCCCGGGCCUUGUACACACCGCCCGUCA